AAUGAACGUUAGCGGCGCGCCUGAUGCAUGCAAGUCGAACGCCUAAGUCAUCCGCAAGGAAGGCAAGGGAGUGGCGAACGGCUGAGUAACACGUAAGUAACCUACCUUUAAGUGGGGAAUAACUUGCCGAAAGGCAGGCUAAUUCCGCAUAUGCUGAUAAGCGAAUGUUUUUCAGUAAAGCCUUCGGGCGCUUGGAGAAGGGCUUGCGUCUGAUUAGCUAGUUGGUGGGGUAAUGGCCUACCAAGGCGAUGAUCAGUAGCUGGUCUAAGAGGACGACCAGCCAGACAGGGACUGAGACACGGCCCUGACACCUACGGGUGGCAG
Molecule: ribosomal RNA, 324 nt
Filed under: uncultured Chloroflexota bacterium
Lineage: Bacteria; Bacillati; Chloroflexota
Description: bacterial SSU rRNA
Rfam family: Bacterial small subunit ribosomal RNA
Source: RNAcentral